CAGACAUCAUGUUUCUCAUUAACCGAUGUGAGGUCAACUUAGAACACAAUCAAUCAAGAUCCAUUUUUGUUGUAAAAGGUAAAACUACUGAGGAGUUUUCCGCGAGGACCAACCCUAAUUUGCGCAGGGAGGUGAUGGGGACAUUUUAUAAUCCUGCGCAUCUUUUCUUAUCGUACGCUUUCUUUGCUUCCAAACAGAUACGUAGCCCAUCAAUUUGAAAGAACUUGGUCAGCGAAACACCACGCUUUUCCAGAAACGACGUC
Molecule: unclassified non-coding RNA, 263 nt
Filed under: Hevea brasiliensis (rubber tree)
Lineage: Eukaryota; Viridiplantae; Streptophyta; Magnoliopsida; Malpighiales; Euphorbiaceae
Source: RNAcentral